This 3960-nucleotide long non-coding RNA is filed under the name Brassica napus (rape). Its description in RNAcentral is "long non-coding RNA (BNAP_LNC008082)". The record is from RNAcentral. Lineage: Eukaryota; Viridiplantae; Streptophyta; Magnoliopsida; Brassicales; Brassicaceae.
AGAGAGAGUAGCUUAAUGGUGUCUCUGUUCUUCAUCACAUACCAGAAAAAAAAAAGAAAUGUCUCAAAUGAUUCAUCAAAUCCACCUCAAAAACGAAGAUUCGAUCCAAAUCUCACCUGCUCCUGCUGCUCCUCCCCUCACCGCGAAUCACUCAUCUAAUCGAAUAAGCCCAAUCCUUCUCUUCAUCAUCGUUCUCCUCUCCGUCGUCUUCUUCAUCUGCAGCAUCCUACAUUUAACGGUCAAAUGUUACUUAAAGAAGAAAAGAUCGAGACUUUCUUCCUCCGCGGCGGAUUCCGAUCGAAACCCAGAACUCUCCGACUCCUCCGACACUUACCAGAGACAGCUCCAGCAGCUGUUCCAUCUCCACGACUCUGGUCUCGAUCAAGCCCUGAUCGAUGCCCUUCCCGUUUUCCUCUACAAAGAGAUCAAAGGCUCCAAAGAGCCGUUCGAUUGCGCGGUGUGUCUCUGCGAAUUCUCCGAAGACGAUAAGCUCAGGCUGCUUCCGAUUUGCAGCCACGCUUUCCACAUCGAUUGUAUCGACACGUGGCUGCUCUCGAACUCGACGUGUCCGCUCUGCAGAGGAACCCUUUAUCCGUUAGGGCACCAAUUCGAAAACCCGGAUUUCAAUUUCGGGUUUUUCGCCGGAGAAGAUGGAGAGAGGGCUUCUCCGGGGGAGAAACCGGCGGAGAGUGAUAUCAUGAGUGGGAAGAGAGUGUUCUCAGUGAGGCUUGGGAAGUUCAGGAGCAGUAAUAUUAAUGAAGGUGAAGGAGGAGGAGGAGGAGGAGGAGAGACAAGUGGGUGUGUGAGUGUGAACAGUAGUCUUGACAACAGGAGAUGUUUCUCAAUGGGGUCUUAUCAGUACAUAGUGGCUGAAUCAGAUCUGGUGGUUGCUUUGUGUCCUAAUAAUGAAGGUUCGAAGAAUGUGAAAGGAGAGAGUGAGAGUAAUGUUGAAGGGAAGAAGCUUAACAUGAGAAGCAAAGGUGAGAGCUUUUCUGUGUCAAAGAUUUGGCAAUGGUCUAAUAAAAGAUCAAAGUUUGCAAACCAAGCAGAAACCAAUCUAGUGGGUUCUUCUUCUGCAUCUUCCUCCUCUUAUGCUUGUUCCGGUAGUACAGUUGGUGCUGGAUUAUCAUUGAAUGGAAGGAGAUUUCAGGGGCCAUGAUAAGAGAUAAUGGGGUUAGGUACAGAUCAAGGUGUAGCUAAUUUUCUGCUGUUGAUUUAAUUAAAUCAUUGAUUUUGAGUUUUUUUUUUCUUUCUGAAAUUCAUUUUGUUAACACUAUAUACUGUAGUGGUGGUCUUUUUGUGUCUUUGUAGCUGAAUCUCUUUGUGUUUGUUAAGAGGAGAAUAAGCUUUGUUCUUUGAUUAAGUUUUAUGUGAUGCUUAUUUUAAUCCCCAACAAGUUCUAAUUAAAUUCUGUUCCGAGAUGGAACCUCAAAGAUUUGCACAAACUUUGAUGAUUUUGUUAGCUGUAUUUUGUCUUUAACGUCCAAACUUUUCAAACAAAAAGAAUAUCAUUUUUAUGGCAAAUCACAUAAAAAUGAAAUUGAAAUAAAAGAAGAGAAGUCAAAUUUUAUAUCUUCGGUGGGGUUUGAUACUUGUAAAGAGCAUCCAAAAAUGGGAUGGAAUCAUUAUUGGUAGGUAUAAAUAAUGAUGACCCUUAUUUGUUAUUAUGCUCCAAAAGAGCAUUCAAGAAAGAACACUCAUGAAGGUAUCAAUGAUCUCUCAAGUCACAGUUUGUCUUCAAAAUCAUAUCCGAGCACGUGACAUAAUUACAUUGGCCAGUAAAUUAGCAAAUAAAAUACAAAAUCUUUUUGUGCAAAGACGAAGCUGUAACUAGAAAUACAUCAUGUGGGCAAUCAAAUCUCUUUAAAAGUUUUAUACACGAGACAAACUUGUGUGCUUCCUCCAUCACUUUCUGACUCAAAAACAUAUGAAAUUUUGUUCAAAAAGAAACAUGAAGAAUCUCAAAUCCCAAACAAAGCCAAAGUUUCAGGAAACGGAUGAAAAAAGUAGGAAGAUAAAAGCUGAUUUUGUUGCGUCAGCUGCUCGGGUAAGACAUAUCUUUCUUUCUUUUUUUUUUUUUGGAAUAGGGAUGAUAAUAAAUACUCAAAGUUCCUUAUGCUGAAAAUACAAUCAGCCUCACAACCCACGAGGGAAGUUGUUGAUCUGUCCUUCCUCCAAUACAUCUUUUCCGUUCAAUUUGUACCCAAUCCUCAUGCGCAUCACAAGAGAUUUCUGCCAUAUAAACAUUAAAGUAAUUUAGUGUUAAGUCACUUAAUCCAGAGGUCAACCAAUCUUUAUAUGAGCAUAUACUGAGUUCUUGAUCAUAGACAAAAAAAAGGAAGCUGAACAGAGAAAGUGUUUAUACCUUGCCGUGCUGGCUGUUAGUGACUCUCAGAUUCUGCGUGAUGUUACCGCUUGCCGGGAGUGUGUUACUGCUUGCUGGAUCCAAGUGCAGCUGGAGGAACUGGAGAUUAAAAGAACGAAAGACAAUGUUAAAGAAAAUUUUGAAAACUGGAUGAUAAGGGAGAGAAAAAAGAAAACUGAAAUGACCUUUGGAACAGCAGCCUGGAAGAUAAAAUCUGUGAAAGUAUUAGGAGAUAGAUUUAUAAAAGUGGCCUGGACAUUUGUUUCUUGUGGGUUCCCUGAUGGCUUUGAGAAUGUGAACUCAAUCUUCAAGGUGCUGCUCUCGUAUGCAACAAUAGGUGGAUAUGCUGGACCAUUGGUUGCUGCAAUCAAGGAGGAAAGCAAAGUUAUUCAUCUUUUAAAAGAGUUUCAAUGAUUUGUAUAGAUUUUGUUUCAGUGAUUACAUAAUAGACUUUUUUCUUACCUUCCUUCGAUGGGCUUGGAGAAAGACCAUCUAACAAAUCGAACAUACCACCAGCAGAGGCAGUCGUUGCUAUGUGAGGUGGAGCUGGUGAAGAAAGUGUGUCUAGCGCAUUAGAAGGAUUGUUGUUAAUGCCAGCUGUUGAUAACAAAUCAAUUGAUGAUGUGUUGUUUUGUGCCGGAGAAGGUGUCCCAAUUGAUAAAAUAUCCAUCAACAGAUCUGCACCGGCUUUUGGACCCGGGGUUGCACCUGAAACAUUGCAAUGCCAUAGAGGAAAAGAUUGCUCAUUCGAGACAAUAUCAUAGCUGAGUACACCAUAAAAUGAAAAAAAAACAGUUGUAGAGACGCCAAAGAACUAACCAGAUUGUGCUGACGAUGAUCCUAAGUCAACACCCAGAAGAUCCUGAAGGAAAUCUGCACCAGAUGAACUAGGUGCAGCCAUGAUAUCGUCAGAACCCAGGUCCAGUAAAUCCACUAGUGGAGCUGCAGCAACACCAUUUGGAAUACUAACUGAAGGUUUGGCCAUUGUUGAAACUGACGCAGGCAAAGAGCCAGCCCUCCUCACAUUGAAGGUAGCCUCAUCUAGCACCGGCAUUCUCUCAACCAGAGAAGACCUAUAUGCAUAGAGACCUCGUUUUCAUGAGAUUUGAGGGGGUAAGUGAUUAAUCAUUUAACUAAGCCUUAACCAACACAACUACUAUAUUUUUCCCUUGCAUGUUUUAAGCUAAUGAUGGAAGGCGCUCUCUCUAGUUGUGCCAAAUCUCUUUAUCAAUCAUUCCUCCUACGUUUUGACUGUGAAUUCGAUUUUAAAAUUUUAUUGAGCUCCAUGGAAAAAUAUAAUCAUAAAUUGAGGGGGUUUAUGGUUAAAUCUGAGAGAGAGUAGCUUAAUGGUGUCUCUGUUCUUCAUCACAUACCAGAAAAAAAAAAGAAAUGUCUCAAAUGAUUCAUCAAAUCCACCUCAAAAACGAAGAUUCGAUCCAAAUCUCACCUGCUCCUGCUGCUCCUCCCCUCACCGCGAAUCACUCAUCUAAUCGAAUAAGCCCAAUCCUUCUCUUCAUCAUCGUUCUCCUCUCCGUCGUCUUCUUCAUCUGCAGCAUCCUACAUUUAACGGUCAAAUGUUACUUAAAGAAGAAAAG